UACGAAGGGGGCUAGCGUUGCUCGGAAUGACUGGGCGUAAAGGGCGCGUAGGCGGAUGGCACAGUCAGAUGUGAAAUUCCCGGGCUUAACCUGGGGGCUGCAUUUGAUACGUGUUGUCUUGAGUUCGGAAGAGGGUCGUGGAAUUCCCAGUGUAGGGGUGAAAUUCGUAGAUAUUGGGAAGAACACCGGUGGCGAAGGCGGCGACCUGGUCCGACACUGACGCUGAGGCGCGAAAGCGUGGGGAGCAAACAGG
Molecule: ribosomal RNA, 253 nt
Filed under: uncultured bacterium
Lineage: Bacteria
Description: partial 16S ribosomal RNA
Rfam family: Bacterial small subunit ribosomal RNA
Source: RNAcentral